CUUUUUCACGUAGAUGGAAUUACGAACGAGGAAAGGAGCUGGAGCAAAAAAAAAAGAAAUCGCUUGCCGCUUUUUACGUUUGACUGCUACGAGUGCAUCGAUCGAUGCGCAUGGUGAGUCAUUUGCUGAUCUUGCGAAGGUGGACUGACUCACUGAUGAUCUCUAGCUUUUGAGGGAGCGGUGGACACACCGACACUAGGCGGACGUGCUUGAGCUCUUCUCUUUGGGGGAAGUAAUGAGAAGAGUCUCCUGCUUAAAUGAGGGGAUUUAUCAAAGGGCUGUUGCUUCUGGUACCGAUGCUGGCUCGUCAGUUAAAAACCAUGAGGAGCAAGCGACUGGAAAUCAGGACUGGAGACUGGAUGGUUUAAGCGGAAAAAUAAAAAAGAGGAGGAGGAUGAAAAAAAAAGGUGAAGGAACCACAACAACAACAACAACAGGAAAGGCUUAAGGUACUUUUUGUUUCCGCUUUGCUUUAUGUGACGUGGGGGGAGGCAUGCGUAGCUUGCACGCUAUUCAGAUGAUGGCUGCCGGGAACGAAUAUCCUCGACUCGCUCGAGCUGCGAGAAGAGGCGAGUUUUCGUUUUUCCAAGCUUUAGCUGGUGGUUUUUUGGUUUUCAUGGUUUUUGUUUCUACGCAUAAUGCGCGGAUUUCUGAAAAAACGGCCCUCGCCCUCGCUUUGGAAUGAGGCCUUUGAAUCUUCUCUGCGUCGCACGCAGCGCGCACACAGAUGGCAAAAGAGGGAAAGAUUUUUAUAUAAAGUCGACAAGCUCGCUUGCAAGCGAGAUAAAAAAAAAAGGAGAAGGAGAAGGCAGAAAAACAAAGAAAAAGAGUGAGUGAGUGAAGCACGCACUCUUGCUUAUCUCACUCUGUUGUGGCCCGUUAUAUGGCAAAGGUGUCAGGGAAAACUUAUCCAAGGAUUAAAAACCA
Long non-coding RNA from Selaginella moellendorffii, 927 nucleotides. RefSeq lists it as uncharacterized. The transcript has 2 exons. NCBI's taxonomy places the organism in Eukaryota, Viridiplantae, Streptophyta, Lycopodiopsida, Selaginellales, Selaginellaceae. The record is from RefSeq and is a predicted model, not a curated record.